UCGAGGGGCAGCAUGAACUUAGCUUGCUAAGUUUGAUGGCGACCGGCGCACGGGUGAGUAACACGUAUCCAACCUGCCGAUGACUCGGGGAUAGCCUUUCGAAAGAAAGAUUAAUACCCGAUGGCAUAGUUCUUCCGCAUGGUGGAACUAUUAAAGAAUUUCGGUCAUCGAUGGGGAUGCGUUCCAUUAGGUUGUUGGCGGGGCAACGGCCCACCAAGCCCACGAUAUCUAGGGGUUCUGAGAGGAAGGUCCCCACACUGGUACUGAGACACGGACCAAACUCC
RNAcentral lists this ribosomal RNA (284 nucleotides) under uncultured Bacteroides sp. RNAcentral's name for it is "partial 16S ribosomal RNA". It matches the Rfam family "Bacterial small subunit ribosomal RNA", at positions 62 to 339 of the family's 1533-position model. The record is from RNAcentral. Lineage: Bacteria; Pseudomonadati; Bacteroidota; Bacteroidia; Bacteroidales; Bacteroidaceae.